RNAcentral lists this ribosomal RNA (253 nucleotides) under uncultured bacterium. RNAcentral describes it as "partial 16S ribosomal RNA". It matches the Rfam family "Bacterial small subunit ribosomal RNA", at positions 524 to 776 of the family's 1533-position model. The record is from RNAcentral.
UACGUAGGGUGCGAGCGUUAAUCGGAAUUACUGGGCGUAAAGCGUGCGCAGGCGGUUCGUUGUGUCUGAUGUGAAAGCCCCGGGCUCAACCUGGGAAUGGCAUUGGAAACUGGCGAGCUAGAGUGUGGCAGAGGGGGGCGGAAUUCCGCGUGUAGCAGUGAAAUGCGUAGAGAUUUGGAGGAACACCAGUGGCGAAGGCGACUUUCUGGUCUGUAACUGACACUGAGGCGCGAAAGCGUGGGGAGCAAACAGG